Molecule: ribosomal RNA, 253 nt
Filed under: uncultured bacterium
Lineage: Bacteria
Description: partial 16S ribosomal RNA
Rfam family: Bacterial small subunit ribosomal RNA
Source: RNAcentral
UACAGAGGGUGCGAGCGUUAAUCGGAAUUACUGGGCGUAAAGCGCACGUAGGCGGGAUGGCAAGUCAGUCGUGAAAUCUCUCGGCUCAACCGAGAAACGUCGGCUGAUACUGCCGUUCUUGAGGGAUGCAGAGGAGACUGGAAUUCCCGGUGUAGCGGUGAAAUGUGUAGAGAUCGGGAGGAACACCGGUGGCGAAGGCGGGUCUCUGGGCAUUUCCUGACGCUGAGGCGCGAAAGCGUGGGGAGCAAACGGG